UACGGAGGGUGCAAGCGUUGUCCGGAUUUAUUGGGUUUAAAGGGUGCGUAGGCGGCCUUUUAAGUCGGCGGUGAAAGCCCGGGGCUCAACCCCGGAACUGCCGUUGAUACUGGGAGGCUUGAGUACAGACGAGGUAGGCGGAAUUGAGGGUGUAGCGGUGAAAUGCUUAGAUACCCUCAAGAACACCGAUUGCGUAGGCAGCUUACUAGGCUGUAACUGACGCUGAGGCACGAAAGCGUGGGGAGCGAACAGG
Molecule: ribosomal RNA, 253 nt
Filed under: uncultured bacterium
Lineage: Bacteria
Description: partial 16S ribosomal RNA
Rfam family: Bacterial small subunit ribosomal RNA
Source: RNAcentral